RNAcentral lists this long non-coding RNA (385 nucleotides) under Erythranthe guttata (spotted monkey flower). RNAcentral's name for it is "long non-coding RNA (EGUT_LNC000552)". The record is from RNAcentral. Lineage: Eukaryota; Viridiplantae; Streptophyta; Magnoliopsida; Lamiales; Phrymaceae.
UGCAUAGUAAAAAGAACUUGAAACAAUAAAAUGAUUGUGAAUCAUGAAACGAUAAUUUUUUUUGGCGCUCUAGAGGACCUUGUACAUGUUAUCAACAUGAACAAAAAUGGAUCGUCGUUCUCUUUUUCUGUGUAAAUACGAGUUGACACGCUCUCACGAGUAUAAUAUUUAUCACACACAAGUACUGUCCAGUUCCGAAGUUUGACAAUAGGACAUUCACAAUAAUGAAGUGGAAAAAGAAAGUAAUGAAAAUCGCUCAUAUUCUCACACCGUGAACUUUUUCUCCAUUAAUAUUGAUUUCACGGACGUCCGUAUGCAUUUAAUAUUGUUUUUCCUUUCUUCGAUAUUGUUGAACAAUGACUUGAUCCUUUUUUUUUUUUUUUUU